Molecule: long non-coding RNA, 307 nt
Organism: Dipodomys ordii (Ord's kangaroo rat)
Lineage: Eukaryota; Metazoa; Chordata; Mammalia; Rodentia; Heteromyidae
Exons: 3
Source: RefSeq, a predicted model, not a curated record
AGCAAGUGCUGGCUAUUCUGUUCAAAAAGUACAGAUUCCCGGGCCGUAACUUCGAGGAAGAUGAACAAGUAAAGAACAGCCUUUGUUCCAUCUUCACCAUGUGGAUGGACUGCUACCCUGCAGAUUUCCGAGAGCCCCAGAACCGACACCCGGUGAAAGAACUGACCCACUAUGCCAUGCUCCACAUGCCCUCCUCAGAUCUGGUCCUCAAUCUCCACGUUCAUCUGGAUGAGCUGGAGGAGACCGGGAAGAAUGAGACCAAGAAACAGAGGAAGAAGUCCCUGUGUGGUCACCUCAGAGCUUGUGA